UACGGGGGGGGCAAGCGUUGUUCGGAAUUCCUGGGCGUAAAGGGCUCGUAGGCGGCCAACUAAGUCAGACGUGAAAUCCCUCGGCUUAACCGGGGAACUGCGUCUGAUACUGGAUGGCUAGAGGUUGGGAGAGGGAUGCGGAAUUCCAGGUGUAGCGGUGAAAUGCGUAGAUAUCUGGAGGAACACCGGUGGCGAAGGCGGCAUCCUGGACCAAUUCUGACGCUGAGGCGCGAAAGCCAGGGGAGCAAACGGG
RNAcentral lists this ribosomal RNA (253 nucleotides) under uncultured bacterium. Its description in RNAcentral is "partial 16S ribosomal RNA". It matches the Rfam family "Bacterial small subunit ribosomal RNA", at positions 524 to 776 of the family's 1533-position model. The record is from RNAcentral.